UAAUACGUAGGAGGCGAGCGUUAUCCGGAUUUAUUGGGCGUAAAGAGGGCGUAGGCGGCCUUGCAAGUCGGAUGUAAAAUCUCUCGGCUUAACUGGGAGGGACCAUUCGAUACUGUUGGGCUAGAGAGCAGCAGAGGGAGGUGGAAUUCCCGGUGUAGUGGUGAAAUGCGUAGAUAUCGGGAGGAACACCAGUGGCGAAGGCGGCCUCCUGGGCUGUUACUGACGCUGAGGCCCGAAAGCGUGGGGAGCGAACAGGAUUAGAUACCCUGGUAGUCCACGCCGUAAACGAUGGACACUAGGUAUGGGGAGUAUCGACCCUCUCCGUGCCGAAGCUAACGCAUUAAGUGUCCCGCCUGGGGACUACGGCCGCAAGGCUA
This 377-nucleotide ribosomal RNA is filed under the name uncultured bacterium. RNAcentral describes it as "bacterial SSU rRNA". It matches the Rfam family "Bacterial small subunit ribosomal RNA", at positions 521 to 896 of the family's 1533-position model. The record is from RNAcentral.